ACGCUAGCUACAGGCUUAACACAUGCAAGUCGAGGGGAAACGGCAUUAAGUGCUUGCACUUUUUGGACGUCGACCGGCGCACGGGUGAGUAACGCGUAUCCAACCUUCCCAUGACUAAGGGAUAACCUGCCGAAAGGCAGACUAAUACCUUAUGGUCUUCACUGACGGCAUCAGAUGUGAAGUAAAGAUUUAUCGGUUAUGGAUGGGGAUGCGUCUGAUUAGCUUGUUGGCGGGGUAACGGCCCACCAAGGCAACGAUCAGUAGGGGUUCUGAGAGGAAGGUCCCCCACAUUGGAACUGAGACACGGUCCAAACUCCUACUGGAGGCAGCAGUGAGGAAUAUUGGUCAAUGGGCGAGAGCCUGAACCAGCCAAGUAGCGUGCAGGAUGACGGCCCUAUGGGUUGUAAACUGCUUUUGUAUGGGGAUAAAGUCAGUCACGUGUGAUUGUUUGCAGGUACCAUACGAAUAAGGACCGGCUAAUUCCGUGCCAGCAGCCGCGGUAAUACGGAAGGUCCGGGCGUUAUCCGGAUUUAUUGGGUUUAAAGGGAGCGUAGGCUGGAGAUUAAGUGUGUUGUGAAAUGUAGACGCUCAACGUCUGACUUGCAGCGCAUACUGGUUUCCUUGAGUACGCACAACGUUGGCGGAAUUCGUCGUGUAGCGGUGAAAUGCUUAGAUAUGACGAAGAACUCCGAUUGCGAAGGCAGCUGACGGGAGCGCAACUGACGCUGAAGCUCGAAGGUGCGGGUAUCGAACAGGAUUAGAUACCCUGGUAGUCCGCACAGUAAACGAUGGAUGCCCGCUGUUGGUACCUGGUAUCAGCGGCUAAGCGAAAGCAUUAAGCAUCCCACCUGGGGAGUACGCCGGCAACGGUGAAACUCAAAGGAAUUGACGGGGGCCCGCACAAGCGGAGGAACAUG
RNAcentral lists this ribosomal RNA (917 nucleotides) under uncultured bacterium. RNAcentral's name for it is "bacterial SSU rRNA". It matches the Rfam family "Bacterial small subunit ribosomal RNA", at positions 33 to 941 of the family's 1533-position model. The record is from RNAcentral.